RNAcentral lists this long non-coding RNA (2010 nucleotides) under Homo sapiens (human). RNAcentral's name for it is "PREDICTED lncRNA (TCONS_00012732)". The record is from RNAcentral. Lineage: Eukaryota; Metazoa; Chordata; Mammalia; Primates; Hominidae.
AUAAUUGUUGUGAUGAAAUUGAUGGCUCCUAAGAUAGAGGAGAUACCUGCUAGGUGUAAGGAGAAGAUGGUUAGGUCUACGGAGGCUCCAGGGUGGGAGUAGUUCCCUGCCAAGGGAGGGUAGACUGUUCAACCUGUUCCUGCGCCGGCCUCCACUAUAGCAGAUGCAAGCAGGAGUAGGAGAGAGGGGGGUAAGAGUCAGAAGCUUAUGUUGUUUAUGCGGGGAAACGCCAUAUCGGGGGCACCGAUUAUUAGGGGAACUAGUCAGUUGCCAAAGCCUCCGAUUAUGAUGGGUAUUACUAUGAAGAAGAUUAUUACAAAUGCAUGGGCUGUGACGAUAACGUUGUAGAUGUGGUCGUUACCUAGAAGGUUGCCUGGCUGGCCCAGUUCGGCUCGAAUAAGGAGGCUUAGAGCUGUGCCUAGGACUCCAGCUCAUGCGCCGAAUAAUAGACCUUAGUUUAGGUAUUGGGGCCAAAGGAUGGAUGACCAUUUCAAACGAUCCAGGCUAAGCCAGGAGGAGAGCUCAAAGUCUGAUCUGGGCUGGACUCUUGGUCUGUCGUCCAGGAUAGAGGGCAGGGAUGCCAUCACUACUCACUAUAACCUCAAACUCCUGGGCUCAAGCAAUCCUCCCACCUCAGCCUCCGGAGUAGCUGGGACUACAGCUCUGCUGCCCCCUGCCCCAUACACGUGAUGGAGCAGAAAACGUGCUGUGUGAACCUGUGACUUCAGGGCCUGUUGACGUGGUCGUGCUUGCAUACUCUCUGGACUGGACCUCACUGUGGGAACAACAAGAUCAACAAGAGGAGCAAGAACAACAUCAAGAGUCAGGGCCCGGGGGUCCUGACGGGUACAGGAUGGGUACAGACCCACACAGGAAUCCCAGAGUGUGUUCCACAGCAGGACACGCCUGCGCUGAAAGAGUGGGCAGAAAGGAGCUGACCUGGGAUUAUGAUCCAAACUCAGCUGGGCCUCCCCUACCUGCCCCAGGAUUGUGGAGUGAGAACGUUGCAGCAGGGGAGAACAACGCAGCAAAGCACAGCAGGGGAACCGGAAAUGCUCACCCUUUGACAGGACCAAACCAAUGCACAACUCCUACGUACUGAUGGUGGUCUUACGUUUCCCUAAGUUUCUGCCGACUAAACUGUGCACACGUUCUCAGGACCUCCUGAAGCUGCGUCACAGGCGCUGAUCAAAGAACACAACCAAGGUGAGUGUCAAUCAUUUCAAGAAAUCUAUUUGCAAGGUUAAGGACACACCUGAGAAAAGAACAGAGAACCACAGGAAAAACUGUGGUCCGUGCUUUUCCCAAAGAUUGUCUGGGGGCCUCAGUAAGUAAAGGGGAAAAGUGCGGGUAUUGGGGAAAGGGGAAGAAGUGGAAAAAAUGGGUGUGGGUAAAUCAGAGGCAAAUGGUUGCAUUCUUCUGUCUUUGGUCAGUGUUCACUGAAUACACAUUUUACAUGCGAGGGAGGUAGAGGCAGGGAUGUAGCUUUUUUAUCUUUGUGUAAUAGCUAUCUUAUUUAGGAACCAGAUGGGAAGCAGGUUUGCAUAAGCCAGUUCCCAGCUUGGCUUUUCCCUUUGGCUUAGUGAGUCUGGGGUCCCAGGAUUUAUUUUCCGUUCUCACAGGUUGUGGUCCUCACAUUUGGCUCAAAAUAUUCAAAAUUUUUUCCAGAGUUUGGCCUUUUCUUCAGCACUGGGAAUUGUGAUCCAAAGCUUUUCCUGAUGAGGCACAAAGUUGGAGAAACAAAACGCAAACUAAGCAACAAUGAAACAGAACAGAGUGAAUCUGCUGUAGCUCAAGAGAGGACGUAGCUGCCCCCACCCCGCAUCCCCGGGCUCGGGUUUGCCUUGCUGACCUCUGCUGCCACCUGGUGCCGCACAGAGAAACUGAGGAGAAACCACAUCAGUCUCCUUCAGCCUCAGCUUCACAUCUGUGGGUCAAGCAACCCUUUCAGAAGCUGAAUAAUGUGGGAAAGCUUUCCUCUCAGGAAAAUGCACACAUCCAACUUUGAGA